RNAcentral lists this transfer RNA (74 nucleotides) under Desmophyllum pertusum. RNAcentral describes it as "tRNA-Thr". The stretch from base 7 to 69 matches the Rfam family "tRNA", at positions 5 to 66 of the family's 71-position model. From Rfam's summary of the family: Transfer RNA (tRNA) molecules are approximately 80 nucleotides in length. Their secondary structure includes four short double-helical elements and three loops (D, anti-codon, and T loops). The record is from RNAcentral. Lineage: Eukaryota; Metazoa; Cnidaria; Anthozoa; Scleractinia; Caryophylliidae.
UCCGUGCUGUAGCUUAGUGGUAGAGCGUCCGACUGGUGUGCGGAAGGUCAUAGGUUCGACUCCUGUUGGAGGAA